AGUGAACGCUGGCGGUAGGCCUAACACAUGCAAGUCGAACGGCAGCACAGUAAGAGCUUGCUCUUACGGGUGGCGAGUGGCGGACGGGUGAGGAAUACAUCGGAAUCUACUUUUUCGUGGGGGAUAACGUAGGGAAACUUACGCUAAUACCGCAUACGACCUACGGGUGAAAGCAGGGGAUCUUCGGACCUUGCGCGAUUGAAUGAGCCGAUGUCGGAUUAGCUAGUUGGCGGGGUAAAGGCCCACCAAGGCGACGAUCCGUAGCUGGUCUGAGAGGAUGAUCAGCCACCCUGGAACUGAGACACGGUCCCGACUCCUACGGGAGGCAGCAGUGGGGAAUAUUGGACAAUGGGCGCAAGCCUGAUCCAGCCCUACCGCGUGGGUGAAGAAGGCCUUCGGGUUGUAAAGCCCUUUUGUUGGGAAAGAAAAGCAGCAGGUUAAUCCCCCGCUGUUCUGACGGUACCCAAAGAAUAAGCACCGGCUAACUUCGUG
Molecule: ribosomal RNA, 492 nt
Filed under: uncultured bacterium
Lineage: Bacteria
Description: partial 16S ribosomal RNA
Rfam family: Bacterial small subunit ribosomal RNA
Source: RNAcentral